UACGAAGGGUGCAAACGUUGCUCGGAAUUAUUGGGCGUAAAGCGCACGUAGGCGGCAUUGCAAGUCGGAUGUGAAAUCCCUCGGCUUAACCUGGGAACUGCCUUUGUGACUGCAAGGCUUGAGUGCGGCAGAGGGGGAUGGAAUUCCGCGUGUAGCAGUGAAAUGCGUAGAUAUGCGGAGGAACACCGAUGGCGAAGGCAAUCCCCUGGGCCUGCACUGACGCUCAUGCACGAAAGCGUGGGGAGCAAACAGG
RNAcentral lists this ribosomal RNA (253 nucleotides) under uncultured bacterium. Its description in RNAcentral is "partial 16S ribosomal RNA". It matches the Rfam family "Bacterial small subunit ribosomal RNA", at positions 524 to 776 of the family's 1533-position model. The record is from RNAcentral.